This is a microRNA precursor of Camelus ferus (Wild Bactrian camel), 52 nucleotides long. It matches the Rfam family "mir-1302 microRNA precursor family". The record is from Rfam. Lineage: Eukaryota; Metazoa; Chordata; Mammalia; Artiodactyla; Camelidae.
UUUUGAGUGUAAGUAUAUCCUGUGUAAUAUUUGGGAUAUACUUAUACUAAAA